GAUGAAGAACGUAGCGAAAUGCGAUAUGUAAUGUGAAUUGCAGAAUUCAGUGAAUCAUCGAAUCUUUGAACGCACAUUGCGCCCGCCAGUAUUCUGGCGGGCAUGCCUGUUCGAGCGUCAUUACAACCCUCAGGCCCCCGGGCCUGGCGUUGGGGAUCGGCGGAGCCCCCCGUGGGCACACGCCGUCCCCCAAAUACAGUGGCGGUCCCGCCGCAGCUUCCAUCGCGUAGUAGCUAACACCUCGCGACUGGAGAGCGGCGCGGCCACGCCGUAAAACACCCAACUCUUCUGAAGUUGACCUCGAAUCAGGUAGGAAUACCCGCUGAACUUAAGCAUAUCAAUAAGCGGAGGA
Molecule: unclassified non-coding RNA, 352 nt
Filed under: soil metagenome
Description: partial contains 5.8S ribosomal RNA, internal transcribed spacer 2, and large subunit ribosomal RNA
Rfam family: 5.8S ribosomal RNA (bases 1-120)
Source: RNAcentral